This 576-nucleotide ribosomal RNA is filed under the name uncultured bacterium. Its description in RNAcentral is "bacterial SSU rRNA". It matches the Rfam family "Bacterial small subunit ribosomal RNA", at positions 102 to 674 of the family's 1533-position model. The record is from RNAcentral.
ACGGGUGAGUAAUGUCUGGGAAACUGCCUGAUGGAGGGGGAUAACUACUGGAAACGGUAGCUAAUACCGCAUAACCUCGCAAGAGCAAAGAGGGGGACCCUCGGGCCUCUCGCCAUCAGAUGUGCCCAGAUGGGAUUAGCUAGUAGGUGAGGUAAUGGCUCACCUAGGCGACGAUCCCUAGCUGGUCUGAGAGGAUGACCAGCCACACUGGAACUGAGACACGGUCCAGACUCCUACGGGAGGCAGCAGUGGGGAAUAUUGCACAAUGGGCGCAAGCCUGAUGCAGCCAUGCCGCGUGUGUGAAGAAGGCCUUCGGGUUGUAAAGCACUUUCAGCGAGGAGGAAGGCGGUAAGGUUAAUAACCUUAUCGAUUGACGUUACUCGCAGAAGAAGCACCGGCUAACUCCGUGCCAGCAGCCGCGGUAAUACGGAGGGUGCAAGCGUUAAUCGGAAUGACUGGGCGUAAAGCGCACGCAGGCGGUCUGUUAAGUUGGAUGUGAAAUCCCCGGGCUUAACCUGGGAACUGCAUUCAAAACUGGCAGGCUAGAGUCUUGUAGAGGGGGGUAGAAUUCCAGGU